CGGGUAGAGUAACACGUAGGGAUCUACCUUGAAGUGGGGAAUAACGGACCGAAAGGUUCGCCAAUACCGCAUGGGGUCGCGAGACCAAAGGUUGUUUCGAAAGAGAUGAUCGCUUUAAGAGGAGCCUGCGUUCGAUCAGGUAGUUGGUGAGGUAACGGCUCACCAAGCCGAUGACCGAUAGCUGUUCUGAGAGGAAGAUCAGCCACACUGGGACUGUGACACGGCCCAG
This 229-nucleotide ribosomal RNA is filed under the name uncultured bacterium. RNAcentral describes it as "partial 16S ribosomal RNA". It matches the Rfam family "Bacterial small subunit ribosomal RNA", at positions 103 to 334 of the family's 1533-position model. The record is from RNAcentral.